UGCAGAAAUAUUUCUUUGCCUCUUUUUCCUG
RNAcentral lists this non-coding RNA (31 nucleotides) under Rattus norvegicus (Norway rat). Lineage: Eukaryota; Metazoa; Chordata; Mammalia; Rodentia; Muridae. The record is from RNAcentral.